UAUAUCAAUCAAUCGUAAAUAUAUCUUGUAUGACAAAUCUCUUUUGGAGAAAGUGAUAUAAUAAGAUGCUUUCCAUCAAUUAGGAGGCCAAUUGCCUCGAACUCUACAUGUAGCAUCUCACCUCGACCUUGUAGGGUCGGCCCCAAGGUUCCUCAAAUGAAGUGAUGUAUCACCUCAACCAAGUGAAAAUGGUGAUAUGAAUUGUGGGCUUGAUUGACUUGUUUCAAUUAGCAUAGACUAAGAGAUUAAUAUUAAAUUGUUUCUAUCAUUCUGGUACAUUGUAAUUAUUAGAAGUGAUGAAUUUCUGUUUAUAAUAUUUGUAAUGAUACUAAUAUUUAUGUUUUAAG
RNAcentral lists this long non-coding RNA (347 nucleotides) under Olea europaea (common olive). RNAcentral describes it as "long non-coding RNA (OEUR_LNC006933)". The record is from RNAcentral. Lineage: Eukaryota; Viridiplantae; Streptophyta; Magnoliopsida; Lamiales; Oleaceae.